This 445-nucleotide ribosomal RNA is filed under the name uncultured bacterium. RNAcentral's name for it is "partial 16S ribosomal RNA". It matches the Rfam family "Bacterial small subunit ribosomal RNA", at positions 354 to 796 of the family's 1533-position model. The record is from RNAcentral.
GUGAGGAAUAUUGCGCAAUGGAGGCAACUCUGACGCAGCCAUGCCGCGUGCAGGAAGAAGGCGCUACGCGUUGUAAACUGCUUUUAACCGGGAAGAAACCCCAGGACGUGUCCUGGGUUGACGGUACCGGAGGAAUAAGCACCGGCUAACUUCGUGCCAGCAGCCGCGGUAAUACGAAGGGUGCAAGCGUUAUCCGGAUUCAUUGGGUUUAAAGGGUGCGUAGGCGGAGCGUUAAGUCAGUGGUGAAAUCCUGCAGCUUAACUGUAGACUUGCCAUUGGUACUGGCGCUCUUGAGUGCGCUUGAAGUGGGCGGAAUGUGCCGUGUAGCGGUGAAAUGCUUAGAUAUGGCACAGAACACCAAUUGCGAAGGCAGCUCACUAAGGCGAUACUGACGCUGAGGCACGAAAGCGUGGGGAUCGAACAGGAUUAGAAACCCCUGUAGUCC